This 91-nucleotide transfer RNA is filed under the name Oscillospiraceae bacterium. RNAcentral describes it as "tRNA-Ser". It matches the Rfam family "tRNA". Rfam says of the family: Transfer RNA (tRNA) molecules are approximately 80 nucleotides in length. Their secondary structure includes four short double-helical elements and three loops (D, anti-codon, and T loops). Lineage: Bacteria; Bacillati; Bacillota; Clostridia; Eubacteriales; Oscillospiraceae. The record is from RNAcentral.
GGAGGAGUAUCGAAGUGGUUAUAACGGCCUCGACUCGAAAUCGAGUGUACCAGAGAUGGUACCGUGGGUUCGAAUCCCACCUCCUCCGCCA